Molecule: ribosomal RNA, 206 nt
Filed under: uncultured bacterium
Lineage: Bacteria
Description: partial 16S ribosomal RNA
Rfam family: Bacterial small subunit ribosomal RNA
Source: RNAcentral
CGUGUAGGCGGCUAUCUAAGUCUGAUGUGAAAGCCCUGGGCUCAACUCAGGAAGUGCAUUGGAUACUGGAUAGCUGGAGUACCGGAGAGAGGGUGGAAUUCCUGGUGUAGCGGUGAAAUGCGUAGAUAUCAGGAGGAACACCGGUGGCGAAGGCGUCCCUCUGGCCGGAUACUGACGCUGAGACGCGAAAGCGUGGGGAGCAAACA